RNAcentral lists this ribosomal RNA (207 nucleotides) under uncultured bacterium. RNAcentral's name for it is "partial 16S ribosomal RNA". It matches the Rfam family "Bacterial small subunit ribosomal RNA", at positions 568 to 774 of the family's 1533-position model. The record is from RNAcentral.
AGCGUAGGCGGAUUUUUAAGUGAGAUGUGAAAUACUCGGGCUUAACCUGAGUGCUGCAUUUCAAACUGGAAGUCUAGAGUGCAGGAGAGGAGAAGGGAAUUCCUAGUGUAGCGGUGAAAUGCGUAGAGAUUAGGAAGAACACCAGUGGCGAAGGCGCUUCUCUGGACUGUAACUGACGCUGAGGAGCGAAAGCGUGGGGAGCGAACA